GACGAGCGCUGGCGGCGUGCUUAACACAUGCAAGUCGAACGGAAAGGCCCUGCUUUUGUGGGGUGCUCGAGUGGCGAACGGGUGAGUAACACGUGAGUAACCUGCCCUUGACUUUGGGAUAACUUCAGGAAACUGGGGCUAAUACCGGAUAGGAGCUCCUGCUGCAUGGUGGGGGUUGGAAAGUUUCGGCGGUUGGGGAUGGACUCGCGGCUUAUCAGCUUGUUGGUGGGGUAGUGGCUUACCAAGGCUUUGACGGGUAGCCGGCCUGAGAGGGUGACCGGGGAAAAUGGGACUGAGAGACGGAGCAGAGUCGUACGGGAGGCAGCAGGGGGGAAUAUUGCACAAUGGGCGGAAGCCUGAUGAAGCAACGCCGCGUGCGGGAUGACGGCCUGCGGGUUGUAAACCGCUUUAGCCUGUGACGAAGCGGGAGUGACGGUAAUGGGUAAAGAAGCACCGGCUAACUACGUG
This 468-nucleotide ribosomal RNA is filed under the name uncultured bacterium. RNAcentral's name for it is "partial 16S ribosomal RNA". It matches the Rfam family "Bacterial small subunit ribosomal RNA", at positions 28 to 507 of the family's 1533-position model. The record is from RNAcentral.